AACUUUCAGCUACGGAUCACUUGGUUCUGGCAUCGAUGAAGAACGCAGCGAAAUGCGAUAAGUAAUGUGAAUUGCAGAAUUCAGUGAAUCAUCGAAUCUUUGAACGCACAUUGCGCCCGCCAGUAUUCUGGCGGGCAUGCCUGUCCGAGCGUCAUUUCAACCCUCGAACCCCUCCGGGGGUACGGCGUUGGGGAUCGGCCCUUUACGGGGCCGGCCCCGAAAUACAGUGGCGGUCUCGCCGCAGCCUCUCCUGCGCAGUAGUUUGCACACUCGCAUCGGGAGCGCGGCGCGUCCACGUCCGUAAAACACCCAACUUUCUGAAAUGUUGACCUCGGAUCAGGUAGGAAUACCCGCUGAACUUAAGCAUAUCAAUAAGCGGAGGCU
Molecule: unclassified non-coding RNA, 384 nt
Filed under: uncultured Trichoderma
Lineage: Eukaryota; Fungi; Ascomycota; Sordariomycetes; Hypocreales; Hypocreaceae
Description: sequence contains ITS2
Rfam family: 5.8S ribosomal RNA (bases 1-154)
Source: RNAcentral